UACGUAGGGUGCAAGCGUUGUCCGGAAUUAUUGGGCGUAAAGAGCUCGUAGGCGGUUUGUCGCGUCUGCUGUGAAAACUCAGGGCUUAACCCUGAGCCUGCAGUGGGUACGGGCAGACUAGAGUGUGGUAGGGGAGAUCGGAAUUCCUGGUGUAGCGGUGGAAUGCGCAGGAUAUCAGGAGGAACACCGGUGGCGAAGGCG
Molecule: ribosomal RNA, 201 nt
Filed under: uncultured bacterium
Lineage: Bacteria
Description: partial 16S ribosomal RNA
Rfam family: Bacterial small subunit ribosomal RNA
Source: RNAcentral